Long non-coding RNA from Trifolium pratense (red clover), 559 nucleotides. RefSeq lists it as uncharacterized. Lineage: Eukaryota; Viridiplantae; Streptophyta; Magnoliopsida; Fabales; Fabaceae. The transcript is spliced from 3 exons. The record is from RefSeq and is a predicted model, not a curated record.
UGGGUUAUAUAUAUAUAUAUAUAUAUGAUAUUAAAAAAUCAUUUACACUUAGAAAUUAUGAAUUCAUCUGCUAGGAAAUUCUACACCAUUUUUAUGUUCUUCUGUCUUGUCAUCAUUCUCCUUAUUUCUACAUCCGAGUCAAUGGGAACAUUUCCACAUCGUUGUAUAAAGAAAAGUACAACAUGGGAAGAAAAGCAUUGUAUUUUUGAUAUCGCAACCGAUAACUGGAAAUGUAAUUCAACAUGUGUCAAUCUGGAGCAUGCAGUGUCUGGUAUUUGUCAAUCUGAUCAACAUCCCCUAAAUUUUCCUACGAAUUGUUACUGCAGCUUCAAAUGCAACGAAUAUAUGCCGCGAGAUUGAAGUAGAACUCUGUAAAGAGCAAAGUAAAAUGCGGACAGGAUCAUGUGCAUCAACUCUGCAAAAUCAAAUAGGAGUUAAACAAAGCUUUACACUUCAAUAAAUGUAAUACUUGAUUUAAAAAUUCAAUUCUUGUAGUGAUUAAAUUAUUAAAACAUUAUUUGUCAAAAAAAAUUAUUAAAACAUUAUUAACCCUUACAAA